AUCGUGAAAUCGGUCAUACCGUUACAUGACCAGGUUAUCGUGAAGGUGCCUACGUACACGUGACGGAUGGACCUGCGUUCCAUAGCUAGGUGGUGUAGGGUAACGACUACCAAGGGCAUGAUGGCUAGGCGACCUUGAGAGGGUGAUUCGCCACAUGGAAUAAACACCGCCAGAACUCCUACGGGAGGGCCAGCCAGUAGAGGAAAUCUUCCGCCAUUGGACGAUAAUUUCUGAACGGAAGGCAACCGCCGGCAGUGAGGAAAGGAAGGUUUUUCGGAUCUGUAAAAAACUUUCGUUUGUUAAGGAGAAGGAACAAGUGGCUGAUGAGUAAUAUGUCCGCCCCUUGACGGUACUCUAACCAGAAGCCACGGCUAACUACGUGCCAGCAGCCGCGGUAAUACGUAGGUGGCAAGCGUUGUCCGGAAUUAUUGGGCGUAAAGCGAGCGCAGGCGGUUUCUUAAGUCUGAUGUGAAAGCCCCCGGCUCAACCGGGGAGGGUCAUUGGAAACUGGGAAACUUGAGUGCAGAAGAGGAGAGUGGAAUUCCAUGUGUAGCGGUGAAAUGCGUAGAUAUGUGGAGGAACACCAGUGGCGAAGGCGACUCUCUGGUCUGUAACUGACGCUGAGGCUCGAAAGCGUGGGGAGCAAACAGGAUUAGAUACCCUGGUAGUCCACGCCGUAAACGAUGAGUGCUAAGUGUUGGAGGGUUUCCGCCCUUCAGUGCUGCAGCAAACGCAUUAAGCACUCCGCCUGGGGAGUACGGCCGCAAGACUGAAACUCAAAGGAAUUGACGGGGGCCCGCACAAGCGGUGGAGCAUGUGGUUUAAUUCGAAGCAACGCGAAGAACCUUACCAGGUCUUGACAUCCUUUGACCACCCUAGAGAUAGGGCUUCCCCUUCGGGGGCAAAGUGACAGGUGGUGCAUGGUUGUCGUCAGCUCGUGUCGUGAGAUGUUGGGUUAAGUCCCGCAACGAGCGCAACCCUUGAUUGUUAGUUGCCAUCAUUCAGUUGGGCACUCUAACGAGACUGCCGGUGACAAACCGGAGGAAGGUGGGGAUGACGUCAAAUCAUCAUGCCCCUUAUGACCUGGGCUACACACGUGCUACAAUGGGCAAGAUACAAAGAGCAGCGAAGCCGCGAGGCUAAGCCAAUCUCACAAAUCUUGUUCUCAGUUCGGAUUGUCAGGUCUGCAACUCGCACUAGCAUGAAGCCGGAAUCGCUAGUAAUCGCGAUCCACCAAGGUUCCUCCAGA
RNAcentral lists this ribosomal RNA (1249 nucleotides) under Enterococcus dispar. RNAcentral's name for it is "bacterial SSU rRNA". It matches the Rfam family "Bacterial small subunit ribosomal RNA", at positions 148 to 1368 of the family's 1533-position model. Lineage: Bacteria; Bacillati; Bacillota; Bacilli; Lactobacillales; Enterococcaceae. The record is from RNAcentral.